Long non-coding RNA from Eriocheir sinensis (Chinese mitten crab), 2704 nucleotides. RefSeq lists it as uncharacterized. The record is from RefSeq and is a predicted model, not a curated record. The transcript is spliced from 2 exons. Lineage: Eukaryota; Metazoa; Arthropoda; Malacostraca; Decapoda; Varunidae.
GAGAGUGAAAAAAAAAUAUAUAAGGAAAAUGAAAAAUCUCGUCCCAUUCAGCGAGGAGGAGGAGGAUAAGGAUGAAGAGGCAAAGUAAAUAUGUGUGGGAUUAUUACGAACUUCUCUGGUGCCUGAACAUGAGGGAGAGUGAAAAAAAAAUAUAUAAGGAAAAGGAAAAAUCUCGUCUCAUUCAGCGAGGAGGAGGAUGAAGAGGAUGAAGAGGCAAAGUAAAUAUGUGUGGGACUAUUACGAACUUCUCUGGUGCCUGAACGGGAGAGGAAGAACGAAGGAAAAGGGGAAAGAGAGCCACAAAAGGUCAUGGAAAUUAUGCGGAAGAGGAAAAAUCUUGUCCCAUUCAGCGAGGAGGAGGAGGAGGAGGAUGAAGAGGCAAAGUAAAUAUGUGUGGGAUUAUUACGAACUUCUCUGGUGCCUGAACGGGAGAGGAAGAACGAAGGAAAAGGGGAAAGAGAGCCACGAAAGGUCAUGGAAAUUAUACGGAAGAGGAAAAAUCUCGUCGAAAUCAAAACAUCCGGAAAAGAGAAGGCCGUUAAAAGAUCACAAGCAUUAAAAGAAAGCGGAAACGCAGACCCAAGAACAACAACAACAUCAACAACAACACACUUACGAAGCCACUGAUUGACGGGUUGAGCGCGUGACAUACCAACGCGCUCCACAAUCGUCCGUUCGAGGCACCAACACCUGCAUUUCCGAGAUCGUUAACUAGGGAGAUAGAACACUAAGACUAGACUAUCAACUACUGUACAUAACUGGAAGAACCUGAGUAUGUGUGAGGGAGUGUCCGAAGGGCCCGCCGCUUGCCAGUCUGUCGUUAGUUAAAGCUACGUUAAGGAGAGGCGGCCGAGGGGGGGCGUGUCGUGUGGUGAAGCUGUGUGUGUGUUCUGAUGCUUCUUGUGGGGGUGUGGGGGUGUCCGUGUGCGCUGGAACAGAAGGAGGUUGAUGUGUGUUAAGCUCCUGGUGGGGGAGAGCGGUGAGCGGACAGAACAACGGAUGUAAACUAACUCACUCCACCCCUCACGUCAUAUCACCCAGGCAUUCUAUCGUUUCCGAGGCAAUAUCUCUUUUAAGUGCUUUUUCCUGUUCCACCCUUACGUCAUAUCACCCAGGCAUUCUACAGUUUCCAAGGCAUAUCUUUUUCUUUUAUUGUUUUAUGCUCUUUCCUGUCGUACAAGUUAUUUUUCCUUUUAAUUUGUGUAAGGAUUGUGUAUUGAAAUGUCUGACAAUAACAAAAAAAAGGUUAUACGUAAGGCAGGCUUAGCGAGUGAAAUGUCUUGAGUAGAAAUGGGUUAUAUGGGUGAGUCUGUAUCUGUGUGUGUGUGUGUGUGUGUGUGUGUGUGUGUGUGUGUCGAGCACCCCCAGGCCCUCACACCCACAACACAUUAGAUUGUAACCCAGCACAGGAAGAUACCAUUAAGCGAAUCACACACACACACACACACACACACACACACACACACACAUACACACACACAUCUCUUUACACACACAUACACACACGCAUAUCUCUCUUUCCCUUCCAUUCCUCGCUGUGUUCCCCUUCCCUAUCCUUCCUUCCUCACACACAUACACACACACACACACACACACACACACACGCAUCUUUCUCCAUUUUUCCCCUUCCCUGCCUCCCAUCCCCAUCACACCCGUACACACACACGCCCCGCCCCGCCGCCCCGAGCCCCGUGUCAGGCGGCCCCAGUCCGAGUGUCCCCGAGGCUCCAGAUCCCCACAGCUGGCUGGUGGAGAGUCUUGUUCUGUUUAUAUUUUAUACUGUUUUUAAGCUUCUUUUGGAGACUUUGCUCUACACUUUGUUUUAAGGAUUGCGUAGGUAAGUUUGCCUUGAGGUGAUGCACACAGCAAGUCUCUGUAGACAUUGCCGAGGCGUGCCCCGCGUACUGACCGACUGACUAAUAACCUCCGUUUUCUACCCGUGGAUGCCCGUGUUUGUGUUUGGACCGUAGCCGGAAAUAUUACCUGUUUUACUUUAUACAGCGGCCGCCAGUGGAGCUUUACUAGAUAAAAAUAAAUACCUAUAUUUUGAAAUCAAAGAGUAUAAAAAUAUUACAAUAUAAUAGUGUUUAGAAAUACAAAAAAAUAGUUACUUUCUAGGAUUCUAAGUCAGUCAACUUGUUUCCGAGUGCCAACCAAACUCUUGUGGUACAAGCAACGAAUCCCGAAACUCUGCGGCACAGGCGGCGAACCCCCACCCUUGCGUCCCACCGCCGCCGCCAGUCUGGAGGACCGUUGGCGGCAGGUCUGGCGCCCCGUUCGCCCAGCCCAGCAGCGCCACGCCCCGGGCAGCCAGCGGCCCCGCCAGGCGCUGCCAGGGAAGGACGGGCAGAGGCGGGGGUGCUGGUGGCCACUGCCGCCCUCACUGGGUCAGACUUCCGCCGGGGGAAGCAGACCCGCCAGGGCAGAGCAGCAGCAGCACCCCAGGCCCCCACACCCCCGGGCCGGCGAGUGUUCUGCCCCGGGCCGCCGCGCCCCGACGCCAGACUCUGCAAGCUUAUUAGAAGACAUGUUUGCCUUAUAUAUAGUUCAUACAGUAUAAAAUGUGUACCAUGUUUUUAUAUGAAGUGUAUUGUUAGGGAGUUGAUUUGUCAGAUGUGUGCGUCUCUGCCACGACGAGGCACUACUUUUCUCACACCACUGUCUGGGUCGGUAGUUUUGUAUGAAAAUAAAGUUAUGCUACUUG